Molecule: long non-coding RNA, 903 nt
Filed under: Strigops habroptila (Kakapo)
Lineage: Eukaryota; Metazoa; Chordata; Aves; Psittaciformes; Psittacidae
Description: lncRNA (ENSSHBG00005006634.1)
Source: RNAcentral
GGGCUAUAGGAAGGCAACCCACCGGGGCUGUUCUUUCCUGCUCUCCUGAAAUGAUUUUUGAGCACUAAUAGCUCUUUUCCACAGCUACAACCUCCCACCCGCCGCGUCUGCUUUGCGGAGAUAAGGCAGAGUCAUUCCUCCAGCUGGACCUGUGGUGCCUGGGGGGGUCUGGGAGAGCUGUCCCCGCCGGAGUGGGGCUGCCCGAGGGGGACAGACCCUCAGCCCGCCCCAGGGAGCGGCUCUCCGGGGAAGGAGCACUUGGGGCAGAAGCACCCCAGGCAGCGGGAGGGCGCCGGCUCGCUGCAGGCUCGCCCUCUACUUUUAGCUUCAUCCGAAACGAUUUGCAGCUCAAACGCCCCCCUGAGAGCCGCUAACCUUUGGAGGAGGAUUUGGCACCGUUAUCCUGCUCGGGUUCACGAGCUCGAGGAGCCCAGGAGCGACGCGGCUGCCUCCGUUCGUCCCUCCGUCCCUCCGUCCGUCCCGCACGGCGAUGGGGAGGGCAGCAGAGCCGCUGCUGCACAAAGUCUCGUUCUCGGAGCCCGUCCCGGCUCAGGCGAUGCCCGGGGGGGGUGUUUCCAACCGGGCAGCGAGGCAGCGGCUGCCGGGGUCGGGAUCGGGCUCGGCCUCCCACCGUUAGAACCGAGCAUGGGGUCACCGAGUGGUCGCAGAGGCACCCCCGGCACGUCAUCCCUCAGCUCGUGAACCCCGCGGACCUCGGCAGCCCUGAACUCCUCAGCAUCCCUCCGGCAUCACUGAAUACCCCCUCCGAACCCCCCCAGUUUCCCGUUUGCUUCGGUGUCAGCUGGUGCCUUGCCGGGUGCUGAGCCUCCAGCAAUAGGUAUCUUCCACGUCUUCGUUCACAAUGAACUUGGCUUGGGCUAAAUUGGGAAAAGAAAAAAAAAA